CAGUCGCCGCGGUAAAACGUAGGUGGCAAGCGUUGUCCGGAAUUAUUGGGCGUAAAGGGCUCGCAGGCGGUUUCUUAAGUCUGAUGUGAAAGCCCCCGGCUCAACCGGGGAGGGUCAUUGGAAACUGGGAAACUUGAGUGCAGAAGAGGAGAGUGGAAUUCCACGUGUAGCGGUGAAAUGCGUAGAGAUGUGGAGGAACACCAGUGGCUAAGGCGACUCUCUGGUCUGUAACUGACGCUGAGGAGCGAAAGCGUGGGGAGCGAACAGGAUUAGAUACCCGCGUAGUCCCUGUCUCUUAUAC
RNAcentral lists this ribosomal RNA (301 nucleotides) under uncultured bacterium. Its description in RNAcentral is "partial 16S ribosomal RNA". It matches the Rfam family "Bacterial small subunit ribosomal RNA", at positions 509 to 807 of the family's 1533-position model. The record is from RNAcentral.